GGUCACCAGGCUCUUCCACCUCCACAUCGAUCUGCAUGACCUCGUAGGAGGCGCCAUCCGCACUGGAGAGAAGACACAGAGGAGAACAGCUUUCAGGGACUGAUGAGGAAACCCCGGUGAUGAUGACAGCCAGAGACACACCCCACAACCUCCAAAGAGAUGAUCACAGCCAGAGACAUACCCCACAACCUCCAAAGAGAAGCUGAACUUGCUUCAUGUCUAAGAUCCGUAGUUUACCUUUUUAACAAGUCCUGACCUAAUGUGACUGGUGACCUUAAAAGAAGAGGAGAUUAAGAGACAGGUGCACACAGAGGAAAGAACAUAUGAAGGCAUCGGGAGAAGGCAGCAUCUACAAUCUUCAGAGAGAGGCCUCAGAAGGAUCCAAACCUGCCUGUACCUUGAUUUUGGCCUUCCAGCCUCCAGAACUGUGAGAAAAUAAACUCCUGUUGGUGAAGCA
This 457-nucleotide long non-coding RNA is filed under the name Homo sapiens (human). Its description in RNAcentral is "HSALNT0197331". The record is from RNAcentral. Lineage: Eukaryota; Metazoa; Chordata; Mammalia; Primates; Hominidae.